GUCCCGCAACGAGCGCAACCCUUGCCAAUAAUUGCCAUCAUUUAGUUGGGCACUUUAUUGGGACUGCCGGUGACAAACCGGAGGAAGGUGGGGAUGACGUCAAGUCCUCAUGGCCCUUAUGGCCAGGGCUUCACACGUAAUACAAUGGUCGGUACAGAGGGUUGCCAAGCCGCGAGGUGGAGCCAAUCCCAGAAAGCCGAUCGUAGUCCGGAUUGUUCUCUGCAACUCGAGAGCAUGAAGUCGGAAUCGCUAGUAAUCGCGGAUCAGAAUGUCGCGGUGAAUACGUUCCCGGGCCUUGUACACACCG
Molecule: ribosomal RNA, 307 nt
Filed under: Licmophora paradoxa
Lineage: Eukaryota; Bacillariophyta; Fragilariophyceae; Licmophorales; Licmophoraceae
Description: partial Bacterial small subunit ribosomal RNA
Rfam family: Bacterial small subunit ribosomal RNA
Source: RNAcentral